GUGUCAGCCGCCGCGGUAAUACGUAGGUGGCAAGCGUUGUCCGGAUUUACUGGGCGUAAAGGAUGUGUAGGCGGAUAUUUAAGUCAGAUGUGAAAUCCCCGGGCUUAACUUGGGGGCUGCAUUUCAAACUGGAUGUCUUGAGUGCAGGAGAGGAAAGUAGAAUUCCUAGUGUAGCGGUGAAAUGCGUAGAGAUAUGGAUGAAAACCAGUGGCGAAGGCGGCUUUCUGGAC
Molecule: ribosomal RNA, 230 nt
Filed under: uncultured bacterium
Lineage: Bacteria
Description: partial 16S rRNA
Rfam family: Bacterial small subunit ribosomal RNA
Source: RNAcentral